RNA transcript from Camelus dromedarius (Arabian camel), 8653 nucleotides. It is a transcript of the gene named Rho guanine nucleotide exchange factor 7, with no coding region annotated. The transcript is spliced from 22 exons. The record is from RefSeq and is a predicted model, not a curated record. Lineage: Eukaryota; Metazoa; Chordata; Mammalia; Artiodactyla; Camelidae.
CGGCGCGCCGCCGCUAUGAAUUCCGCCGAGCAGACCGUUACGUGGCUCAUUACCUUGGGGGUGCUGGAGUCGCCCAAGAAAACCAUCUCGGACCCGGAGGGCUUCCUGCAGGCGUCUCUGAAGGAUGGGGUGGUCCUCUGCAGGCUGCUGGAGCGCCUGCUGCCCGGGACUAUCGAGAAAGUCUACCCGGAGCCCCGGAGCGAGGGCGAGUGCCUGAGCAACAUCCGCGAGUUCCUGCGAGGCUGCGGGGCGUCCCUGCGCCUGGAGACGUUUGAUGCAAACGACUUGUAUCAGGGGCAGAAUUUCAACAAGGUCCUCAGCUCCUUAGUGACUCUAAAUAAAGUUACAGCAGACAUCGGCCUGGGAAGUGACUCCGUGUGUGCCCGGCCCUCAUCUCACCGGAUAAAGUCCUUCGACUCCCUGGGAUCCCAGCCUUCGCACUGCCGGACUUCAAAAUUGUUCCAGGGCCAGUACCGGAGCUUGGACAUGACGGAUAACAGCAGCAGUCAGCUAGUGGUACGAGCCAAGUUUAACUUCCAGCAGACAAAUGAAGACGAGCUCUCCUUCUCGAAAGGAGAUGUCAUCCACGUCACGCGAGUGGAGGAGGGGGGCUGGUGGGAGGGCACGCACAACGGCAGGACCGGCUGGUUCCCCAGCAACUACGUGCGCGAGGUCAAGUCCAGCGAAAAGCCCGUGUCACCCAAAUCCGGAGCCUUGAAGAGCCCUCCCAAAGGAUUUGAUACGACUGCCAUUAACAAAAGCUAUUAUAAUGUGGUGCUACAGAAUAUUUUGGAAACAGAAAAUGAAUAUUCUAAAGAACUUCAGACUGUGCUUUCAGCCUAUCUACGGCCACUGCAGACCAGUGAGAAGUUGAGUUCAGCAAACACUUCACAUUUAAUGGGAAAUCUAGAAGAAAUAUGUUCUUUCCAGCAGAUGCUCGUACAGUCUUUAGAAGAAUGCACUAAGGUGCCAGAAGCUCAGCAGAGAGUCGGAGGCUGCUUUCUAAACCUGAUGCCGCAGAUGAAGACCCUGUACCUUGCGUACUGUGCCAACCACCCGUCGGCAGUGAGCGUCCUCACGGAGCACAGUGAGGAGUUGGGAGAGUUCAUGGAGAUGAAGGGCGCCAGCAGCCCGGGCAUCCUCGUGCUGACCACCGGCCUCAGCAAGCCGUUCAUGCGUCUGGACAAGUACCCUGCGCUGCUCAAGGAGCUGGAGAGACACAUGGAGGAUUAUCAUCCAGAUAGACAAGACAUUCAGAAAUCUAUGACUGCCUUCAAAAACCUUUCCGCUCAGUGCCAGGAGGUGCGGAAGCGGAAAGAACUAGAGCUGCAGAUCCUGACGGAGGCCAUCCGGAGCUGGGAGGGGGACGACAUCAAGACCCUGGGCAGCGUCAUUUACAUGUCCCAGGUCCUGAUUCAGUGUGCCGGGAGCGAGGAAAAGAAUGAAAGAUACCUUCUACUCUUCCCAAAUAUUUUGCUAAUGUUGUCUGCCAGUCCUAGGAUGAGUGGUUUUAUAUAUCAGGGAAAGCUGCCAACGACAGGAAUGACGAUCACGAAGCUUGAGGACAGUGAAAAUCAUAGAAACGCGUUUGAAAUAGCAGGGAGCAUGAUUGAGCGGAUCUUGGUGUCCUGCAACAACCAGCAGGACCUCCACGAGUGGGUGGACCACCUGCAGAAGCAAACGAAGGUCACGUCUGUGGGAAACCCCACCAUCAAGCCUCACUCUGUGCCGUCUCAUACUCUCCCCUCCCACUCCAUCACCCCGUCCAGCAAGCACGCUGACAGCAAGCCAGUGCCGCUGACGCCCGCCUACCACACGCUGCCCCACCCCUCCCACCACGGCACCCCUCACACCACCAUCAACUGGGGGCCCCUGGAGCCUCCGAAGACCCCCAAGCCAUGGAGCCUGAGCUGCCUGCGACCCGCACCCCCACUCCGGCCCUCGGCAGCUCUCUGCUACAAGGAGGAUCUCAGUAAGAGCCCCAAGACCAUGAAGAAGCUACUCCCCAAGCGCAAACCUGAGCGGAAGCCUUCGGAUGAGGAGUUCGCCCUGAGGAAAAGCACGGCUGCGCUGGAGGAAGACGCCCAGAUUCUGAAAGUCAUCGAGGCUUACUGCACAAGCGCCAAAACACGGCAGACGCUCAAUUCAACAUGGCAAGGCACUGACCUGAUGCAUAAUCACGUCUUGGCUGACGACGACCAGUCAAGCCUAGACUCCCUGGGUCGUCGCAGCAGCCUUUCCCGCUUGGAGCCUUCAGACCCCUCGGAAGACUCUGACUAUGACAGUAUAUGGACAGCCCAUAGUUACAGGAUGGGUUCUGCAUCUCGGUGGCCGUGACCCUCUGCUCCCACCGCAUCUCCUGAGCCCAGCCCGUGUGUUCAGUGCUCUGCCCUUGUUUGCGCAGAGACGACUCUGGUGCGCUCGGCCCUCGUGUCCUGGGAGCUGGCCCCGCUGCUCACAGCCCCGAGGUGCCGGGACCCUCCCGUGCCGUUCAGACAGCCCGCGGUUCCAGGACCGCGCAGUGGAGGCGCUGGGAGAGCGGUUCCUCCAGAUGCCUAUCUGUUCCCAGUGGCUGCCAAGCUGCCCACUUCUGGGAGUUGCGUUUGCUUUUAAAGCAAUCCAUGUGACUAGGAAGCUGAGGAGCAGCCCUCUGAGUUAGAGCCCAGCACUAACCCCGCUGGAGAGGGGUCUGUCUGCGUCCAGCCAGAUCGCAGACGGAAUGGUGGGAGAAGUAACAGCAGAGUUCACGCACCUACCACCCUGCAGCGAGUGAGGCAGUUCUGGCUUCCUUCACACUGCGUCGGGCUGUCCACGACCGCUUUUCUGGCGCUUGUCGCUGACUCGUCUGCUUGGAGGCCGCGAUGCGCGCUGGCUUUCCUGCCGCCGCCGCUGCCGCCGCCCUCGGUCAGGCUGCUCGUCUGUGCCAGUGCCGUGUGGCCCACGGCAGCACAGCACCUGCCGCCCUGGGUUCCCUUGGAUGCUGGCUGUCAUUUAGGCUGUCCUGAUGAGACGUUUUCAUUGGUAUUCUUUACGCCAAAGGUGUGACAUUUUCCCAUGAUUCUUUUUUUGUACCAGUUAAAGCCCUUCUGAUACUGAUUUUUGUUGAACAGCCUGGCUGUUUGUCUGUUUGACACCGUGAGCUCUUGUGACCUGGUUGGCAGUAUUGGUGCCCCGGCUUGAAAAUGGCUCUCACGUGGCGGUGGUGACGCGGCAUCCGGAGGCCGGGGCUUCCCCACUGUGGGACUUGAGUUAUGCCGCAGUAGUAUCUUACGUGUAAGCAGCUCUGUAACUCCAUGUGCACAGUUAGCGUUACCACGGAAGGGUGAGGCAUCUGACCUGGGAGGUAGGUCUAAGCCGUUACCGGGCCCUUUGCAAACGGCCUCAGUGGUGUUUCCAUUGACUCAACACUUGCCACAAGUAUAUGCUAUAUUAAGUAUGUGUUUUGCCUAAAAUUGCCAAAACACAGUGACAUGUAUAUAGUGGUAUAAGACCUUGAAAAAAAUCUAUAUAUUGUGCUUUUUGUCUGUGAACAGGAAAGCCACUGUCAGUGGGUGACUACCGUUGGACACUCAGUUGGAUGUACCCCUGAAUGUUGCAUUGUAUUGUACAGUAUGCAUAUUGUUUGUGGUUGCAUAUGGCAAUGAAGUGUUUGUUUUAUAAAAAAGAUAUCUGUUAUGUACAGUUGAAAUAAAUUUUGCAUUUGCUAGCCUGUGGCUUUUACUGUUUGUUACACGGUGGGGGGAGCAGCCUAGCCCGCAGGUCAGUGCAAGCCCUCGCCUGUCUGAGGUGGCGCCUUCCACAGGGGGCCGGGCAGUAGAGCGCUUCGUAUCUGCCUGGACAGCAAAACUUGCAUGUUCUUAGGUUAAAUAUGUUCUGGAUGAUACAGGAUCAUUCCUUGUACGUUUUUAUUUCAUCUGUUUCCCUCUAAUUUUCUUAAAACAAGUUUUAAAUCACUGGGAGAUUUGUUUUCAGAAAGAGUUCUCUCCCUCUGGGCAGGGGUGGAGGGGGUAGGGAGGAAGCUGCAUAAAUGGAAAAAAGCCUAACCAUGAAAGUUCUUACUUAGACGAAGGUCAGGUUUUAAUUUUGUUUGGUGAAGUGCAUGUCCAGCUGACUAGGAACAGCAAGAUUGGAAGGAAGGAAAAGACGCACCUGCGGCAGGUGCGGGGCUGGGACCAGUGAUGCUCACAUGCACGUUGUCCUCUGAAGGGGUCCUCGUGUUCUGUUUUGUUUUAGGAAAAAUGAAUUUGAAUCUUAUGGCCAUAAAUAACAAAGUGGCCUUUCAGAGAGAUUUUAUUAAGUAGAUUUUUCUUAGUGUAAUACUUUGUUUCAUUCUGAAAGUUGCUUCAGUUGCCAUUGAGUAUAAUGAGAUGUAGACCUCAGGAAGGUUACCAACUGGAGAAGCCACGUGAGUCUGCAGACGCACCAGCCACCGGCCAGACAAGCAGAUGUUCUUUGCUGACAAACCUCCUGUUUUUAGGCUUUUUGUGCAGGCCAGCCAGCUCCCUCAGGCGUGUGCACACAGUGCUGCUGCCCGGAUCUGAGGGCCGCGUGUCGUCAGCUCAGGCGGGAGGUGGUGCUCUGGCAGCCCGGACCGCGCCCUGGGCCUGAGGCCUGCUGCUUGCUGCCUGGGCCAGUCCUCUGUCCACGGUGGAGAUGUUACGUCCCUCUGUGUUUCUCAGACUGAGGUCCACAGUUCUCCGGGGGGUCUGUGACUGCUUUAGGGGACAGGGUUCUAAGCGUGGCUCCAGCUUCUGGGUCCCACAUCUGAGCCAGCUCACGCCUGGGCACCUGCCCCGCCUCCAGCUGUGCGGUGCAGGGUGACCCCUGCUGGUGGCGGUGCAGAACUGCCACGUGCUUGUUGGGGAGCCGUGGCGGCUGGGUUGGUGGCAACGAGUAUUAUUAUUUCAUUAUGUUCUCCCCCACGCUGAACAGCAGCGGAGCCAAGCAGCAUUCAUGUGUGUUCACAGACACAGAUGGGGUUGUGGGCCAGUCUCGCACUCCCCAGUUAUCCAGAAUGCUGCGGAACGUUGAUAGAUUGGCACUCGGACACAUUUAGGAAAUGCCGAAGUUAGAUGGGUAUUUUUGCUGAAAGCCUCAAACAUGCUAGAUGUGCGCUGUGAAUCUCCAGGAGGUGGCUACAGCAUUCAGCAUUUUCAAAAUUACGUGUUGCAGACUCCCAGCUAUCGCUUGGAAACACACAACUCUGUGUUGAGGAAGCACAGGCCUGGAGUGAGCUGGAAGCUUCGUGAAUGCGCCCAUCUGGGUCUCUGCCCCUUUCGGAGGUUCUGAGGCAAGAGGCAGAACGGCCUUCGGUGGUGGUGCUGCCGAGGGGCUUCUCCGAGCCAAGCAACUCAGAGAAAAGUUCCGCGACACCUGGACAGAUACCAAAAUGGUCUUUGAGUUCUACUUUCUAAAGCUUCUGUUUUUAUAGAAACAGCCAACUUCUUUAUAAACCUGGCUGGAGAAUGUUCCUUUAGUGUUUACUGAAGACUGUCGGAUCUUUCCCAUCAUUUUAGAAAAGGACAUUGUGUUGAGACCAGGCAGGUAACUGGCACCCCAUGGGUUUCUGUGCAGGCUGAGCAGGAGUCUGUCUACAGCCCCCCGGCUCACCACCACAUCCAUCGGUGGCACUUUUCAGUACAUCCUGUCUGUGACAGAACCUUCUCGUGCUUGCCUCUCUGUGGUCCGCUGCCACUCUCUCCUGUGGCUUUGCGUGUGUUUGCAGACAUUAAGGGUGGCAUCUUGCACAUGCGGCUGGUGACCUGGUGUCACGGGUUUAGUGGCCUGACUCAGUCGCUACCUAAUGGAAUUUCAGGCUUUAUAUUUACGGUUUCGUUUGACAGAAGAGAUCUAUAAAAUGUUCAGUUUUCAGUUAGUCCUCAGAACAGCUCUGCAGAGGCAGCUGGUUUUGUUGUUCUGUCUUCCGGGUGAUGGAACUCAGGCUCCGUGCUUGGGUGACGGGCCGGCUCCUGCGUCCCGGGAGCUCCAGCACCUGCACAACGGCCCCUGCACCCCGACCCACUUCUUCCCUAAGUGGACGUGCCUUGUGAUUCUACUUUAUAUGUCAUUUGAAGAACUUACUGCUGCAAACACAGAAUGUAGAUGGGUUGCCUCAGGAGCUGGAAGAUGCAAAAUGAUUGAAAAGACACAGAAUUUAAUCUUCCUGAAGUGCUGUUGCAUCAAAACCAUUUCCAGCCUGUUGUCUCGUUAGCUAGUGCAUCGGGAGAAAUGCUGUAUCUCAGACAGUGCUGACGGAUGCGCACUGACAGCUCUCGAUUUGACCCUGACACGGCGGCUGUCUGGGUGGAAAGCUGGUGAUGGUGGGAACCCUCAGCCCUCGGGAAUGGAGUGGUCUCGAGCCAUCUGCCUGCGUCUCUUUCCGGGGGACUGAGCGAGCCUUUUGCUCUCUGCACACGUGGUACCCACAUCUGAAUCUUAGGAAUCCUUGUCAGUUCCUAAGGAAAAUAGCGCGAGCGACCUUCUCCUGAUAAAAACGUGGGUGAUGUUUGCAUUCGUGCUGGAAGGGGGACCAUCUGGACCUUCAGAGCUCUUGACCCGGCCAGGGCCUUGUGCUUCCUUGUGAUGUGUGUCAUGGACCAGUUUCUUUCUUAGGCAGUAUUUUCCCACGUGGCCCAGAUAUCCCGGCAGUGUUUCCUGUUUACUGAGAAAGGCCCAGAAUACAGCGAGCCUGCCAGCCGCGCCCAGAGGGACCUGGGAAAGGCGGUCCUCCGGGAGGUGAUUCUUGUCGGCCUGAUGGAGUCUUCUAGAACGUGUCCCUUUCUGGGCCCACGUCUUGCAGGGCAUCACCAUCUGUCUGAAGAGCCCUCCCCUGGCCUGCAGGUCACUGUGACGGGGUUGGGUGUGAGCUGGGCGUCCCCCUCCCCGCUGGCCACGGGGCCGCUGCUCCAGGAUCUGCAAUCUCCGUGUGAACCCCAGACCGCUAGCGGGGCCAUCUUUGAAGUAGCAGUUGACAGAUUUAAGGACAGAUCCACCUGCUCGGUACGGUCGUGACGGAAUUCUGAGGACUGCACUGGAUCUUCACCCUGAGGUUCUCAGGGCACGUCACAGCCCUUCCUUUGCUGGUGUAAGACGUCUGUUCAUGUGUCUGUGCAGAGGUUCGCCCUGUGCAACGUGGACUCGUACUUGCUCCCCGGAGCUCAGUCUUCUGAUGGGGCCUGGAUGACAGGAGGAGGCCAGCACCCGCCCUGCUGGGCUCCGCAGAGCGGGCCGGGGCGGGGGGGGGAGCUGGUGUCUGUCUGCAGACGCCCAGACAGCACCGGGGGGAGGACAGCUGGGGCCGGGAAGCCAGGGUCCCUGUCCCUGCGGCCUGCUGCCGCAGAGGUGACGGGCGCGUGCUCUCUGGACCCCGGUAGCGUUUUAUGAGCCUCUUGUCACUGGGCUUUGACUGUAACUGUCAGUCUUGUUCUGUCCAGGGGGGUAUAAGCUCCCAGUAAGACACUGGUGAGACCCUUAAGUCCUGUCUUAGCAUUUGUGCUACACCGAAUGUGUGUCCUCCCGUGAGGUGCCAUCCCGAACGGCAGGGACACCAGCAGAAACAAGGUCGAGCAGGCUGAAGCACCGUCUCCGUGAUUGGUGAGCACCUGCCAGACCUCAGGUGUGCUUUCAAGGGAGAAACGCUGCACUUGCGUCAGUGGCACAGCAGGCGUCUGCUGGAGUAGUCCCUCCUCAAAGGUGCAUCUGAUGUGAUGUUUCAGAAAUGUAAAUGGGACGCUUGUGCCAUACGACCUUUUAAAAAGAGUAUUUUCUUCUUUGCAUCCUUAAUCUUAUUUAAAUCUUAUUUAAUUAAUUUUAUUGAAAAUAAAUUUAAAUCUUAACCUUAUUUAAAUCUUAUUUAGGAUUGUAUUCUCGUUUCUCACAUUUUAAAAUGGGUUGAGUUUCCCAGUUAAUGUCUGCCUUUUGCAUGUUUCUGGGCCCCUGUCCUGGGUAAGCUUUUAUGCCGGGUGUUGGUUAAAUGACAGAAACAUUCCUCUGACACUGUAAACAGCUUAUUUUCCUCCCUUUGGGAAAAAAAAAAAAAAGUUUAUAUUCCAGGGAAUGUAGAAUAAAGUUUCCAUAAGAGAACCAAGUAAUGAACUUCACUUUCUCUAAACUGUGUCCUGUACCAUCGUUAGCUGUGGCCGUGGAGUUAAAUGUUUUAAGUGCUGGUUCACUGGCUCGAUAAACGCCUGGGGUAGGUGUCCUGUGUGGUCUGCUGGAUGUUUCUGAAAUUCCUGGAAUAAUAUGGCUCAAAAUUUGGUUGAUUUGAAUAUUUAUCCCCACCCCCACCAAUUUGAAUAUUUCCUUCAAAAUAGCCAGGGUGAUGUGGUGAGAAUUUUCAACUUACUACCUGGUUAAAAUUUCAGGGAUAAAAGUACCCACAAUGCAGAUUCGGAAACUGAAGCUUAAUAAAUUGCAAGAAAGGCUAAUGUCUCCUUUCCUGUGUGAUGCUUUAGGCGUGAAGAAGACUGGGCUCGGUACACAGAGGUAGAGAAAAUUGGUUCACGCAAAGAGUCAGCACCACAGGUUCUGCUUCCCGAGGAAGAGAAGAUCAUAGUGGAGGAGACGAGGAGUAAUGGGCAGACGGUGAUAGAAGAAAAGAGCCUCGUUGACACUGUGUACGCGCUGAAGGACGAGGUCCAGGAGUUAAGGCAGG